RNAcentral lists this ribosomal RNA (429 nucleotides) under Chloroflexota bacterium. RNAcentral describes it as "Chloroflexi bacterium partial 16S ribosomal RNA". It matches the Rfam family "Bacterial small subunit ribosomal RNA", at positions 355 to 776 of the family's 1533-position model. The record is from RNAcentral. Lineage: Bacteria; Bacillati; Chloroflexota.
UGGGGAAUAUUGCACAAUGGGCGCAAGCCUGAUGCAGCCAUGCCGCGUGUAUGAAGAAGGCCUUCGGGUUGUAAAGUACUUUCAGUCGGGAGGAAGGUGUCAAGGUUAAUAACCUUGGCAAUUGACGUUACCGACAGAAGAAGCACCGGCUAACUCCGUGCCAGCAGCCGCGGUAAUACGGAGGGUGCAAGCGUUAAUCGGAAUUACUGGGCGUAAAGCGCACGCAGGCGGUUGAUUGAGUCAGAUGUGAAAUCCCCGGGCUUAACCCGGGAAUUGCAUCUGAUACUGGUCAGCUAGAGUCUUGUAGAGGGGGGUAGAAUUCCAGGUGUAGCGGUGAAAUGCGUAGGGAUGUGGAGGAAUACCGGUGGCGAAGGCGGCCCCCUGGACAAAGACUGACGCUCAGGUGCGAAAGCGUGGGGAGCAAACAGG